Molecule: ribosomal RNA, 351 nt
Filed under: Triticum aestivum (bread wheat)
Lineage: Eukaryota; Viridiplantae; Streptophyta; Magnoliopsida; Poales; Poaceae
Description: partial small subunit ribosomal RNA
Source: RNAcentral
AUGGAUGCUGGUUUGCGGAACUGGCGGGAGGAUGGUCGUGUAUCUCGCAGGGUACAACGGAUAGCGGACUGUUCUUAUUGGAGGGCCGUGGUGCAGGUAGGAGGUGAGGAGGAGGAGCCCGUUCCAGCAAUCCACGCUGAGGCAGAAGCUGUCGCUGCCCAAAGUGGCCAAAUCGAUGUUAGCGCGGCGGACGACGGCAGCGAGCUCAGGGGGCUGAGGCAUCGGCACGAAUCGGGGCUUGGUGCCUCCAGUUUCGACGUAGAAACCGAGGAGGCUAGGUGGGUGGAGGUCGCGGAAGCGGCAGAGGAAGAUGAGGUCGGAGGAGACGCGGAGCCAGCGCUUGCAAACUAG